This 390-nucleotide ribosomal RNA is filed under the name uncultured bacterium. Its description in RNAcentral is "bacterial SSU rRNA". It matches the Rfam family "Bacterial small subunit ribosomal RNA", at positions 28 to 417 of the family's 1533-position model. The record is from RNAcentral.
GACGAACGCUGGCGGCGUGCUUAACACAUGCAAGUCGAGCGGUAAGGCCCUUUCGGGGUACGACGAGCGGCGAACGGGUGAGUAACACGUGGGUGACCUGCCCUCCAGCUCUGGGAUAAGCCUGGGAAACUGGGUCGUAAUACCGGAUAUGACUCCAUGACGCAUGUUGUGGGGUGGAAAGCCUUGUGCGGCUGAGGAUGGGCCCGCGGCCUAUCAGCUUGUUGGUGGGGUGAUGGCCUACCAAGGCGACGACGGGUAGCCGGCCUGAGAGGGCGACCGGCCACACUGGGACUGAGACACGGCCCAGACUCCUACGGGAGGCAGCAGUGGGGAAUCUUGCGCAAUGGGCGAAAGCCUGACGCAGCGACGCCGCGUGAGGGAUGACGGCCU